AUUGAACGCUGGCGGCAGGCUUAACACAUGCAAGUCGAGCGAGCGGCGGACGGGUGAGUAAUGUCUGGGAAACUGCCUGAUGGAGGGGGAUAACUACUGGAAACGGUAGCUAAUACCGCAUACCAUCAGAUGUGCCCAGAUGGGAGUAGCUAGUAGGUGGGGGAAUGGCUCACCUAGGCGACGAUCCCUAGCUGGUCUGAGAGGAUGACCAGCCACACUGGAACUAGGACACUGUCCAGACUCCUACGGGAGGCAGCAGUGGGGAAUAUUGCACAGUGGGCGCAAGCCUGAUGCAGGCAUGCCGCGUGUGUGAAGAGGGCCUUCGGGUUGUAGAGCACUAUCAGCGAGGGGGCGUUACUCGCAGAAGAAGCACCGGCUAACUCCGUGCCAGCAGCCGCGGUAAUUC
Molecule: ribosomal RNA, 406 nt
Filed under: uncultured bacterium
Lineage: Bacteria
Description: partial 16S ribosomal RNA
Rfam family: Bacterial small subunit ribosomal RNA
Source: RNAcentral